CACUCAUAUGGAGAGUGUUGGCCA
This 24-nucleotide non-coding RNA is filed under the name Arabidopsis thaliana (thale cress). Lineage: Eukaryota; Viridiplantae; Streptophyta; Magnoliopsida; Brassicales; Brassicaceae. The record is from RNAcentral.